Molecule: ribosomal RNA, 326 nt
Filed under: uncultured eukaryote
Lineage: Eukaryota
Description: partial 18S ribosomal RNA
Rfam family: Eukaryotic small subunit ribosomal RNA
Source: RNAcentral
CCCUUAGAUGUUCUGGGCUGCACGCGCGCUACACUGAUGCGUUCAACGAGUUUAUGACCUUGCCCGAUAGGGUUGGGUAAUCUUUUUAAAUCGCAUCGUGAUGGGGAUAGAUUAUUGCAAUUAUUAAUCUUCAACGAGGAAUUCCUAGUAAGCGCGAGUCAUCAGCUCGUGCUGAUUACGUCCCUGCCCUUUGUACACACCGCCCGUCGCUCCUACCGAUUGAGUGCUCAGGUGAAUAGUAUGGACUGCAUCAGUGUUCGGUCUCCGAAUGUUGACGCGAGAAAUUCUGUGAAUCUUAUUGCUUAGAGGAAGGAGAAGUCGUAACA